Molecule: ribosomal RNA, 777 nt
Filed under: uncultured Neocallimastigales
Lineage: Eukaryota; Fungi; Neocallimastigomycota; Neocallimastigomycetes; Neocallimastigales
Description: partial large subunit ribosomal RNA
Rfam family: Eukaryotic large subunit ribosomal RNA
Source: RNAcentral
UAUCUCUGUAGAGUCUGCAUAUCAAUAAGCGGAGGAAAAGAAACUAACAUAGGAUUCCCUCAGUAACGGCGAGUGAAGCGGGAAGAGCUCAAAUUUGAAAUCUUCAAGGUUCUACCUUGACGAAUCGUAGUUUAAAGAAGUGUUUUCUGUUGAAGUUUUGGUAAAAGUUCUUUGGAAUAGGACAUCAUAGAGGGUGAGAAUCCCGUAUUUGACCAGUUAUUUCAGCUGUGUGAUACACUUUCAAAGAGUCGGAUUGUUUGGGAAUGCAGUCCAAAAUGGGUGGUAAAUUUCAUCUAAAGCUAAAUACUGGCGAGAGACCGAUAGCGAACAAGUACCGUGAGGGAAAGAUGAAAAGAACUUUGAAAAGAGAGUUAAACAGUACGUGAAAUUGUCAAAAGGGAAGCGUUUGACACCAUGUGUUGUUUUCUCGAAAAUCAAUUAAAAAUGGCUGGAUUUUGUGUUGUAUUGACCUUAAAAGCUUUCUUCACUUUUUUCAUGUCUUUUUUAAUGCACUUUUCGUUUAACAAGUCAACAUCAGUUUCUUUUGUUGUAAAAAGGUCAUUGGAAGGUGGCUUUCUUUUCGGAGAAAGUGUUUAUAGCCUUUGACUCCUGCAAUCGGAGAGACUGAGGUCUGCAGCGUAGAUCCUUCUUGGAUUAGAUUCAUUUGUGCUAAGUUAUAGCUUUUUAUAGACAACUUGUUGACUAUAUUUAGUCUUGUAGCUUACUCGCUUAUGCAAUUUUACCUACGCUUAGGAUGUUGAACGCGCACAGAGUCUC